This 578-nucleotide ribosomal RNA is filed under the name Blastocystis sp. Its description in RNAcentral is "SSU rRNA". It matches the Rfam family "Eukaryotic small subunit ribosomal RNA", at positions 38 to 633 of the family's 1831-position model. Lineage: Eukaryota; Bigyra; Opalinata; Blastocystidae. The record is from RNAcentral.
CCAAGAUUAGCCAUGCAUGUGUAAGUAUAAAUAAUUCUACUUUGAAACGGCGAAGGGCUCAUUAUAUCAUUUAUAUUUUAUUAAAAAAAAUUUACUACUUGGAUAACCGUAUUAAUUCUAGGGCUAAAACAUGACUAAUUCCUCAACUUUGAAAAGGUGUGUUUAUAAAUAGGAAAACCAUAUGCUUUGGCAUAAUAGUGAGUAAUAAUAACCUUUCAAAUCGUAGGUUGAAAUAACGAUUGUUCUUUCAAGUUUCUGCCCUAUCAGCUUUCGAUGGUAGUGCAUUGGACUACCAUGGCAGUAACGGGUAACGAAAAAUUUGGGUUCAAUUUCGGAAAGGGAGCCUGAAAGAUGGCUACCACAUCCAAGGAAGGCACCAGGCCCGUAAUUAACCCAUCCCUGACAUAGGGAGGUAUGGACAAUAAAUCACAAUGCGGGACUUUGUUUUUUGCAUUUGGAUUGAAAACAAUGUAAAACAGUUAUCGAUAAACAAUUGAGAGGGCAAGUGGGGUGCCAGCCCCCGCGGUAAUUCCCUCUCCUAUAGCGUAUAUAAACGUUGUUGCUUAAAAAAACCCCAC